ACCAUGCUUUUUACAACGCGCUGAAUUGUUACUUAGCUGUCAAAUAAAAAUGCAGUUACGUGGGGUUUAAAGCCUGAUGUCUCAAAACCGUACCGUCUGCAGGUAGAACCUUAAAAUAUCCUGCACUGGCAUACAGAACCACGCGAAUGUUCAGAAUAACGUGUUUUAGGCCUAGACUUUCGGAAAAGGGAAAAUAAAACAAACUGUAAACUCUACAUAAUGAAAACCCGCUUUGGAUAUCAUCAAUUUCAUUACCACAUUUUAUUUAUGCCUGUGCUACAGAAUGCUAUAAAGGCCACUUCCCCCGUUACAGGACUAUCAGUCUUCCCUGUGGUAGCAUGUCAUCCCUUCUGGUGGACCAGAUAAAGAACUGGACAACAGAUGAUUGCCCUGGGAAGAGUCAAAAGUGCCUUUAUGCAUCAGUGACGAUGACAUAAUAGCUACGCACACGACUUCCAUCCUGCGGUUUGUUGAUGACAUCAAGUUUGCCUUCCACCCUGAGAAGCCCAACAGCUGCGUGGUUCUGGAAUCAGCAAAGGACUGAAGCACUUGCAGCUGCGUGGGAAUUAUUUGGCAUGCUUUCAGCCAGUUGGCUGUGACUGAGAAGAGGCAAGUUUGAUGCGUGGACUUGGGUCGCACACAACUGAGGAGGCUCCUCAGCAUCAUUGCUGUUUUCCCAUCGGCAGCCAACCCUAAACGUCCACUUAACUCAUUUUCAGAUCAGGCGACAGUAAAAUGGCUGGAGUGGACUCUGACUUGAUCAUAGCUUCUGACUAUUCCUUGAACAGAAUGGAUGGUUUAGACAAGUUGCUAUGCUGUAAUAUCUUUACACUGGAGUUCAUCCAACUAACGCAACAGAGUGUAAAUACAACUGUAUAUUAAAAGAAACAGUAAUGGCCUAUUCAAAGGCACUGAGGGAAAUGCAAUGUGAAAAUUAAGCAAGGAAAAGGGCAUUUAUAUUCAGUAAAUAAACCUCACUGAGUACUAUGCUUGUGUUUACUACUAAACACUGUCCUUGGGGUUCAUUUAUAAACAUGUAUUUACACAUUGCUUCAAAUGUCAGAACAAUUAGGCAAUAUGUACGUUUUUCUGGGAACUGGCCCAAACCCCACAUAAGGUCAUUAAUAACAUUACACAUACAUUCAAAAAAGAGGAAUAGGAUGGUAUAUACUUAAUAUUGUCAGUCAUUUUGGCUAAACAGUCUCUAUUGUUAUUGGUCAAUUUAACAGUCCAGAUUUAGGGAAAUGCAGCUAUAUAUUUAAUAUAUAUGUAAUGAAGGGGGACUAGGGGGAUUCUGUGUUAGCUUGGUGGAGGAGUGAUGGGGAAAGAACUAAGAGAAGUGAGCUGAGGGGUGUAUGACUGUGUUACUGUGGACUUUCAGUUUCUUUGGAUUUUCCUGACUGAGAGUAAAAGAGUGUUAUUCAGUGAAAGAAAAUAAGAGAACUGUAAGGAAUUACAGCAUUCUGCCCCAGAAUGUAUAUUCCACCAGGCAUGAUCUAAUGAAUAGCUGCAGCAUCCCAAAGGGCUUGAGAUGAUAGAGACCCCAACUGGAUGGCCCACACCUCUGCCAACACCUUAACAAUUUGGUCAAACAAGGUGGCAAACGAGUGGGACCAGGAGUGGGCAAUCAAGAACUAUCUCAGACGAAGGGGUAUCGAGGCUUAUUCAAACAAUGGUAUCCUGGUUUACUCAAAUCCGACACUGUGACUUCAUUAUCAUACAGGCAACAGGUUUGGCUCAUUUACAUUAAGAACAACCUAAACUGUAUAUAUGAGAAUUAGUCUGAAUGUUGAGGUUCACUCCAACACCGCUGAACCCGAAGUCUGUGUUUUUCAUGUGCUUCGAUACUGUUUUAUACUGGAUGAAAGACUUUCAUUUCAACACGCAUUCGUCUUCUCCAUCCUUGUUUUUUUCUUACAGAAAGUAGAAGAACUAUUUCAGGGAUGGAGAAACAGAAAGAGAAUUCCACAUUUUCAGGUCUUGGAUUUUUGAAUUUUGGGGUGGGGUGGAUGUCUAAAAUUAGACAGAAGGAAAGAUUCUCCCUUAUUACACGACCCUGUUUACUCAUAAAGAGAGAGGUGUUACAUUUACAUUUACAUUUACAUUUACAUUUACAUUUACAUUUAUUUAUUUAGCAGACGCUUUUAGACAGGAGGGAAGGCUGACUUCAUGUUCAUGCUUCAGAAUGUCUGGGCAAUCCUGAGCAGCUCCUGACAUGCUAUAAAGACAAGGCUAUAUCCUUGCCAGAGAGAGUGACUGAGAGGGAGAAUGUUUGAAAAAGAGAACAAGGAGAAGGGGGAUAGAGUGUGUUUUAAAAGGUAGCACGAAUGAGUUGGAGACAAAGCUACCAUGAGAGAUAGACACACACACACACACAAAGAUAGAGAGGGAGGUAGCUGGAUGUUACGUGUGGCACACUGUGCAUUUGUGGGGUCUGGGCCGCCUGCGUCUUGUUGUCUUCUCUCCUCUCUCGCUAAUCUCCUGACGCAGGUAUCCUGCUGCAAAGCGACGUUGUUGAUUUCCAUCCGGCCCAGCGUUGCGUCCCGCCUCCUCGUUCUGGCCCGGGGCCAACCAGAGGCAGAGCACCCCAAUUUAAAGA
Molecule: long non-coding RNA, 2599 nt
Organism: Megalops cyprinoides (Indo-Pacific tarpon)
Lineage: Eukaryota; Metazoa; Chordata; Actinopteri; Elopiformes; Megalopidae
Exons: 3
Source: RefSeq, a predicted model, not a curated record